UGUCAACAUUUGAGAAGUGGGAAUUCAGUGAUUCUAAGUGACAGAAACAAUGGAAAAGCUCCUGGGUUUGCUCAUCCUCUGGCUGUACCUGCACUGUGUGAGCAGUGAGCAGGAGGUGAGGCAGAGUCCUGAAGCUCUGAGCGUCCGUGAAGGAGACAACUUGGUUCUCAACUGCAGUUACACCGACAGCACAAUGUACUCCCUUCAGUGGUUCAGGCAAGAUCCCGGGAAAGGUCUCACAUUUCUGAUCAUACUUCGGUCAAAUAAGAGAGAUGAAAGCAGUGGAAGACUUAAAGCCUCAUUGGAUACAUCUUCAAGACAUAGCUCUUUAUACAUUGCAGCAUCUCACCGUGGUCACUGCACCCCCUACCUCUGUGCUGUUGGGCACAGUGUACAGCCGGCACCUGCACCUGCUACCUAA
This is a non-coding RNA of Tupaia belangeri chinensis (Chinese tree shrew), 421 nucleotides long. Lineage: Eukaryota; Metazoa; Chordata; Mammalia; Scandentia; Tupaiidae. The record is from the annotation of a RefSeq genome assembly.